AUUGAACGCUGGCGGCAUGCUUUACACAUGCAAGUCGAACGGUAGAGGGGGCAACCCCUUGAGAGUAGCGAACGGGUGAGUAAUGCAUCGGAACGUGCCCAGUCGUGGGGGAUAACGCAGCGAAAGCUGUGCUAAUACCGCAUACGAUCUCUGGAUGAAAGCGGGGGACCGAAAGGCCUCGCGCGAUUGGAGCGGCCGAUGUCAGAUUAGGUAGUUGGUGGGGUAAAGGCUCACCAAGCCAACGAUCUGUAGCUGGUCUGAGAGGACGACCAGCCACACUGGGACUGAGACACGGCCCAGACUCCUACGGGAGGCAGCAGUGGGGAAUUUUGGACAAUGGGCGCAAGCCUGAUCCAGCAAUGCCGCGUGCAGGAAGAAGGCCUUCGGGUUGUAAACUGCUUUUGUACGGAACGAAAAGGUCUGGGUUAAUACCCUGGUCACAUGACGGUACCGUAAGAAUAAGCACCGGCUAACUACGUGCCAGCAGCCGCCGUAA
This 496-nucleotide ribosomal RNA is filed under the name uncultured bacterium. Its description in RNAcentral is "partial 16S ribosomal RNA". It matches the Rfam family "Bacterial small subunit ribosomal RNA", at positions 30 to 523 of the family's 1533-position model. The record is from RNAcentral.